GUCCAACCUGCCCAGUGAAUUAAUUUUAACGGCCGCGGUAUCCUAACCGUGCAAAGGUAGCAUAAUCACUUGUCCCCUAAUUAGAGACUUGUAUGAACGGUUACAUGAGGGCCUAACUGUCUCCUGUGGCAAAUCAAUGAAAUUGAUCUUACAGUACAAACGCUGUAAUAUGCAUAUAGGACGAGAAGACCCUGUGGAGCUUUAAAUUUUACAUUAAAUAUAUUAUAAAUUUUAAACCAACAUUAAUGUUAAUUUUAAGUUGGGGCGACUAUGGAGUAAAACGAACCCUCCAUGAAAUACGACUAAAUUUCGUCAUACUAGGUUAACAGACCAAACAAAACACACGACCCAGUCAAACUGAUCAUCGAACCAAGUUACCCCAGGGAUAACAGCGCCAUCCCCUUAAAGAGUCCACAUCGACAAGGGGGUUUACGACCUCGAUGUUGGAUCAGGACAUCCAAGUGGUGCAACAGCUACUAAGGGUUCGUUUGUUCAACGAG
This 500-nucleotide ribosomal RNA is filed under the name Phelsuma modesta leiogaster. RNAcentral's name for it is "partial 16S ribosomal RNA". It matches the Rfam family "Bacterial large subunit ribosomal RNA", at positions 1852 to 2588 of the family's 2925-position model. The record is from RNAcentral. Lineage: Eukaryota; Metazoa; Chordata; Lepidosauria; Squamata; Gekkonidae.